RNAcentral lists this ribosomal RNA (492 nucleotides) under uncultured bacterium. RNAcentral describes it as "partial 16S ribosomal RNA". It matches the Rfam family "Bacterial small subunit ribosomal RNA", at positions 29 to 507 of the family's 1533-position model. The record is from RNAcentral.
AGUGAACGCUGGCGGUAGGCCUAACACAUGCAAGUCGAACGGCAGCACAGUAAGAGCUUGCUCUUACGGGUGGCGAGUGGCGGACGGGUGAGGAAUACAUCGGAAUCUACUUUUUCGUGGGGGAUAACGUAGGGAAACUUACGCUAAUACCGCAUACGACCUACGGGUGAAAGCAGGGGAUCUUCGGACCUUGCGCGAUUGAAUGAGCCGAUGUCGGAUUAGCUAGUUGGCGGGGUAAAGGCCCACCAAGGCGACGAUCCGUAGCUGGUCUGAGAGGAUGAUCAGCCACACUGGAAGUGAGACACGGUCCAGACUCCUACGGGAGGCAGCAGUGGGGAAUAUUGGACAAUGGGCGCAAGCCUGAUCCAGCCAGACCGCGUGGGUGAAGAAGGCCUUCGGGUUGUAAAGCCCUUUUGUUGGGAAAGAAAAGCAGCAGGUUAAUACCCCGCUGUUCUGACGGUACCCAAAGAAUAAGCACCGGCUAACUUCGUG